This 431-nucleotide ribosomal RNA is filed under the name uncultured bacterium. RNAcentral's name for it is "partial 16S ribosomal RNA". It matches the Rfam family "Bacterial small subunit ribosomal RNA", at positions 29 to 507 of the family's 1533-position model. The record is from RNAcentral.
AACGAACGCUGGCGGCAGGCUUAACACAUGCAAGUCGAGCGCCCCGCAGGGGGAGCGGCAGACGGGUGAGUAACGCGUGGGAACGUACCUUUUGGUUCGGAACAACUCCGGGAAACUGGAGCUAAUACCGGAUAAGCCCUAACGGGGAAAGAUUUAUCGCCGAAAGAUCGGCCCGCGUCUGAUUAGCUAGUUGGUGAGGUAACGGCUCACCAAGGCGACGAUCAGUAGCUGGUCUGAGAGGAUGAUCAGCCACACUGGGACUGAGACACGGCCCAGACUCCUACGGGAGGCAGCAGUGGGGAAUAUUGGACAAUGGGCGCAAGCCUGAUCCAGCCAUGCCGCGUGAGUGAUGAAGGCCUUAGGGUUGUAAAGCUCUUUUGUCCGGGAAGAUAAUGACUUUACCGGAAGAAUAAGCCCCGGCUAACUUCGUG